Molecule: unclassified non-coding RNA, 240 nt
Filed under: soil metagenome
Description: partial contains 5.8S ribosomal RNA, internal transcribed spacer 2, and large subunit ribosomal RNA
Source: RNAcentral
AACGGUCUAUACCUGCGGUACCUGCGGAGGGAUCAUUAAUGAGAAACUGCCCCUCGCGGGUAGAUCCCCCACCCUUUGUAAACUUACCUUUGUUGCUUUGGCAGGCCCGUCUCCGGACCGCCGGCUUCGGCUGGCCAGUGCCUGCCAGAGGAUUCUAAAACUCUGUCUGUCAGUGUUGUCUGAGUCUAUAUACAAUCGUUAAAACUUUCAGCAAUGGAUCUCUAGAUCGGAAGAGCACAC